RNAcentral lists this long non-coding RNA (1111 nucleotides) under Sinocyclocheilus anshuiensis. RNAcentral describes it as "lncRNA (ENSSANG00000035215.1)". Lineage: Eukaryota; Metazoa; Chordata; Actinopteri; Cypriniformes; Cyprinidae. The record is from RNAcentral.
CGUUCUUACGUCUGCAGCGCUGUGGCUUUGUAAUUGACAUUCCCAGACACUAGAGGGCGAUAAAGCGCUGCUCUCUCUUUUAAAACCAGGAUCAAAAUGUCAACAGAGAGAAGAAACGCGCAACAAAGUAGCAUCAAAUGACUUUGAACUUUGCCUCAUCGAUAGCAUUUCUUCUAACUUGUUUUUGUAAAGAAUGUGAAUGAUGAACCGGAAUAUGGAUCAUUUUAGCACACUUAUCGCCGUGGUGUCAGGUGUAACGGUGUUGUAUCUCUUUCACUCAGUCUUUUACGCUUCUCACAUCUCAUUUAAAAAAACGCACACAGUCUUUGACUCCCAGAAGCAUUUGCCAGGUUCAGUUUACCUCAUGACCAGAUACAUUUAUGAAUCUCUCCGCAAAAAACGAGGAACAAUGAGGAAAAACAAAGACACAAAUGACGAGCUUGUUUUCACUUUGGUCAACUGCAGGUAUGAUGCCGUGUCUUUGAGGAGGUUCUGCAGUGUUUCAGGUUAUGGUUGGGACUAUCCUGACAGUGUCUUCAGAGACGUUCCCUUGUGCUACCCUGAGUUUCUCUUCACCAGACUUCUCACUAUGAUUAUGUGCUCGGAGAGAUUCAAACUAAGCCCUUUGGGUCUGUUGAGUGUCUGUGAGAGUUUGAGUCUGAGCGAUGCCUUGGAUGAGCUGAAGAGAGGGACGUUCUCCCAGCAGGCCAGAGUGCUGGAGUACAGGACUGUUAGUGCUGGAGUGGAGGUGGAUCUCGUUUUAACUGCAUCUAGAGAUCAGCAGACCGUUUGGAGCAGCACACUGACUCUACUCUCUCCUAACAAUACAUACAGACCUGAUGCUCAGCCUGACUUAGAGAUCACCCACGAUCCAGUCUCAGAGAGAUGCAUCAGCCUGGCUGUUCCUUGGUCCUCAGGUGUGCGGAGCACCUGGGUGUAUGGUGACCUUUGCCCUCUGCCUGUGUUUGUUUGGCUGGGAUUUACCCGUCCCACCACACACCCGCUGUGGAUGUUCUCCAUGUGCAUGGCAGAAAUGGAGAAACACAAAGGCAAGUAAUGUUUGAAGGCCUAUUCACAAGAACAGCAAAAUGACAACAUGCAAAUUGACAAA